GUACACAAAAAUGCACAUAUUGUGAGCUCGAUGAGUAGGGCGGGACACGUGGUAUCCUGUCUGAAUAUGGGGGGACCAUCCUCCAAGGCUAAAUACUCCUGACUGACCGAUAGUGAACCAGUACCGUGAGGGAAAGGCGAAAAGAACCCCGGCGAGGGGAGUGAAAAAGAACCUGAAACCGUGUACGUACAAGCAGUGGGAGCCUCUUAAUGGGGUGACUGCGUACCUUUUGUAUAAUGGGUCAGCGACUUAUAUUCUGUAGCAAGGUUAACCGAAUAGGGGAGCCGAAGGGAAACCGAGUCUUAACUGGGCGUUAAGUUGCAGGGUAUAGACCCGAAACCCGGUGAUCUAGCCAUGGGCAGGUUGAAGGUUGGGUAACACUAACUGGAGGACCGAACCGACUAAUGUUGAAAAAUUAGCGGAUGACUUGUGGCUGGGGGUGAAAGGCCAAUCAAACCGGGAGAUAGCUGGUUCUCCCCGAAAGCUAUUUAGGUAGCGCCUCGUGAAUUCAUCUCCGGGGGUAGAGCACUGUUUCGGCAAGGGGGUCAUCCCGACUUACCAACCCGAUGCAAACUGCGAAUACCGGAGAAUGUUAUCACGGGAGACACACGGCGGGUGCUAACGUCCGUCGUGAAGAGGGAAACAACCCAGACCGCCAGCUAAGGUCCCAAAGUCAUGGUUAAGUGGGAAACGAUGUGGGAAGGCCCAGACAGCCAGGAUGUUGGCUUAGAAGCAGCCAUCAUUUAAAGAAAGCGUAAUAGCUCACUGGUCGAGUCGGCCUGCGCGGAAGAUGUAACGGGGCUAAACCAUG
This 811-nucleotide ribosomal RNA is filed under the name Escherichia coli. RNAcentral describes it as "bacterial LSU rRNA". It matches the Rfam family "Bacterial large subunit ribosomal RNA", at positions 375 to 1191 of the family's 2925-position model. The record is from RNAcentral. Lineage: Bacteria; Pseudomonadati; Pseudomonadota; Gammaproteobacteria; Enterobacterales; Enterobacteriaceae.